GAUCCUGGCUCAGGAUGAACGCUGGCGGCGUGCCUAAUACAUGCAAGUCGAACGCUUCACAUAUGUGAAGAGUGGCGAACGGGUGAGUAAUACAUAAGUAACCUGGCCUUUACAGGGGGAUAACUAUUGGAAACGAUAGCUAAGACCGCAUAGGUGUCAUAGCCGCAUGGAGAUGAUAUGAAAUAUGCUACGGCAUAGGUAGAGGAUGGGACUUAUGGCGCA
RNAcentral lists this ribosomal RNA (222 nucleotides) under uncultured bacterium. RNAcentral describes it as "partial 16S ribosomal RNA". It matches the Rfam family "Bacterial small subunit ribosomal RNA", at positions 15 to 240 of the family's 1533-position model. The record is from RNAcentral.